This 481-nucleotide ribosomal RNA is filed under the name uncultured bacterium. Its description in RNAcentral is "partial 16S ribosomal RNA". It matches the Rfam family "Bacterial small subunit ribosomal RNA", at positions 30 to 507 of the family's 1533-position model. The record is from RNAcentral.
AUUGAACGCUGGCGGCAUGCUUUACACAUGCAAGUCGAACGGUAACAGGCCGCAAGGUGCUGACGAGUGGCGAACGGGUGAGUAAUGCAUCGGAACGUGCCCAGCCGUGGGGGAUAACUACUCGAAAGAGUAGCUAAUACCGCAUACGAUCUAUGGAUGAAAGCGGGGGACCGUAGGCCUCGCGCGAUUGGAGCGGCCGAUGUCAGAUUAGGUAGUUGGUGGGGUAAAGGCUCACCAAGCCAACGAUCUGUAGCUGGUCUGAGAGGACGACCAGCCACACUGGGACUGAGACACGGCCCAGACUCCUACGGGAGGCAGCAGUGGGGAAUUUUGGACAAUGGGCGCAAGCCUGAUCCAGCAAUGCCGCGUGCAGGAAGAAGGCCUUCGGGUUGUAAACUGCUUUUGUACGGAACGAAACGGCUCUGGUUAAUACCCGGGGCUAAUGACGGUACCGUAAGAAUAAGCACCGGCUAACUACGUG